RNAcentral lists this ribosomal RNA (119 nucleotides) under Arabis alpina (gray rockcress). The record is from RNAcentral. Lineage: Eukaryota; Viridiplantae; Streptophyta; Magnoliopsida; Brassicales; Brassicaceae.
GGGUGUGAUCAUACCAACACUAAUGCACCGGAUCCCAUCAGACCUCCGCAGUUCAGCAUGCUUGGGUAAGAGUAGUACUAGGAUGGGUGACUUCCUGGGAAGUCCUCGUGUUGCACCCC